RNAcentral lists this ribosomal RNA (441 nucleotides) under Vibrio campbellii. RNAcentral describes it as "bacterial SSU rRNA". It matches the Rfam family "Bacterial small subunit ribosomal RNA", at positions 77 to 517 of the family's 1533-position model. The record is from RNAcentral. Lineage: Bacteria; Pseudomonadati; Pseudomonadota; Gammaproteobacteria; Vibrionales; Vibrionaceae.
CGAUAACGGCGUCGAGCGGCGGACGGGUGAGUAAUGCCUAGGAAAUUGCCCUGAUGUGGGGGAUAACCAUUGGAAACGAUGGCUAAUACCGCAUGAUGCCUACGGGCCAAAGAGGGGGACCUUCGGGCCUCUCGCGUCAGGAUAUGCCUAGGUGGGAUUAGCUAGUUGGUGAGGUAAGGGCUCACCAAGGCGACGAUCCCUAGCUGGUCUGAGAGGAUGAUCAGCCACACUGGAACUGAGACACGGUCCAGACUCCUACGGGAGGCAGCAGUGGGGAAUAUUGCACAAUGGGCGCAAGCCUGAUGCAGCCAUGCCGCGUGUGUGAAGAAGGCCUUCGGGUUGUAAAGCACUUUCAGUCGUGAGGAAGGUAGUGUAGUUAAUAGCUGCAUUAUUUGACGUUAGCGACAGAAGAAGCACCGGCUAACUCCGUGCCAGCAGCCG